This is a long non-coding RNA of Eutrema salsugineum, 760 nucleotides long. RefSeq lists it as uncharacterized. The transcript is spliced from 2 exons. The record is from RefSeq and is a predicted model, not a curated record. NCBI's taxonomy places the organism in Eukaryota, Viridiplantae, Streptophyta, Magnoliopsida, Brassicales, Brassicaceae.
AGAGAGAUUUUUGCUCCCUUUUAUGUUUUGUAUUUCACAUCUAUCUCAGAGAGAGGAAGCUUUUUCUCUUGUACUUUCGAUCAAAUUAUAUCGGCUUUUUGUUUCUGAUUUUGAUCGGAUAAUAAAGUUCCGGCUUGAUUAGAUUGUUUUUGCUUUCCGUUUUGCGAAUUACCUUUUUCUGAGUAUUUGUGGGUUUAUGUUUUGAUGCUCUUCUUAUGCCAUAUUAAAAUCGGUUCUUCUUAUAUCAAAGAGUAUUAAGUUUUGCUAAUCCUUGGUGGAGCGAAGAUUCUUCACAGAUUGAAAUAUGGAUUUGGUUAUUCCGGCGAUAAUGUUAAAGAGCCUUAUUGAAGGUGAAGGGUAUUUGGUCUCGAGUUUGAGAUGAGCGGUGGCUAAUCUUACGGAUGCAAGAAGACUUUUGGUUAAUCGUGAUCUUGCAGUGAAAGGAGUUUACAUGAUGGUUUUUGAUAAAGAUGACUUUGAUCUGAUGGAUUUCUUCAACUUGUAUGGUUUGAUUUCAUCGGAUUUCUGCUUUUCGGCGAAGCUCUGUUCGGCUACUUGUCGGCGGUAUCUUCUCAGUAUCAUCCUAAUCUUCACCUUAGCCUACCACGUGUGUUACAUGUGUUUGAUCUUUGUUAAUCGCUAUCCUUUAAUUUGAAUGGGUUUAUGUUGGGCUUAACUUUUGAAUGGUUAUGGGCCUUAGAACCUUUUUGUAAUUUGUCCUUUGGACUUUGUUAUAAUCAAGUAGAAAAAAAAUAAAAAA